UGAGGGCCACCUGUGCCUGUGUUACAUUCUGUACUGUGAGUGGCUGCUUGGCUCUUCAAAAGGGCUGUUAAAUGCAGUUAGGGAAUUUGGAUCCCUUAUUCAGAAUGUGGAAAAGAAGCUCCACCCAUCUGUGCUUGUAGUCUACUUCCUUUCAUUUGUUUACGAGACAAAAUGGAGUUGAUCUGGAAGCAGUUUUGGAGGAGGAAAAUCAUAUGUCUUUCCAGACCAUCAAAUAUUGUUGAAUUUAUUAUUGCUUGAAGACAGAGUCAUGAUCUGGCCAGAGGGAAGUUUUGAACUGUAAUGUAAAAUGAAAUCCCUUUGGCCUGAGAUUGCACUGCACCAGGAUGUUCCAUCCAGCCUGGGCAGGACAGAGUCACACUGCAGGAUGAGUCUGGUGGAGCCGAUCAGGAUAUUGCCUGUUUCCACAGCCCUGGAUGGCCACAAGACACCCUUUGUAUACCAUUACUCUCUCUACUUCAGACUUUGCCACUGCAAGUUUUAUUUUGCAGCUGCGAGAAGAACAAAAUAAAUCUUCAUUCUGGGGAUGGCAAAAUUCCCUGUAGCCUGCACGCUGAAAAGCCUUGGGCUCGCUCUGCUGCCACAUCUUGUUCUACUUAAACUACUGCUUUUAA
Molecule: long non-coding RNA, 632 nt
Organism: Vidua chalybeata
Lineage: Eukaryota; Metazoa; Chordata; Aves; Passeriformes; Viduidae
Exons: 3
Source: RefSeq, a predicted model, not a curated record